AAUCACUUCUAACACAACAGUCUGUGUUGCAACAACCUAGUCAAUUUGCACAGCUGCAAGAUCCACAAAGGCAGCUGUUAGAGGCAUCCCAGAGCUUUUCAAGGUCCAUGCGACCCAACCAAUUGUUAGAAAUGCCUCAAACAACACCCAAUUCACUUCCGCAAUCAAAUAUUAUUCAACAGCAGAUGACAAAGAAUGGCAACCAGACUAAUGCUCAGUUCUCCCAUAUGCCACAGCAACUGAAAUUGCAACAACAGCAGCCUGGGAUAUUGUCUGAAAUGCCUGGACAUAUGGGACUUCCCCCUAGCUCAGGUGUCAAUCAUUUCUCUACAGUUGGUAGUAGCAUAUUGACUGCUGCUGCAGGGGCAGGGAUUUCUGGGAUUACCGAGGAGCUUCCAUCUUGUUCAACUUCACCUUCCACAAACAACUGUGCAAAUAUGGUUCAUCGGGUACACCAAAGCACAGCUAUAGGAGAUGACAUGGCUCAGUCUGCUGCUACACUCUUGAGUUCCAAUGCCUUAGAAACAAUGUCAUGUAGUACUAACUUGGUUAAAGAUGUGCAACAGAAAUCUGAUGUUAAGCCUUCAAUGAACAUUGCCAAGAAUCAAAACCAAGGAUUCUUUGCCCCGCAAACAUACCAAAAUGGUGCAACUGCCCAGACAGAUUAUUUGGAUACUUCUUCUUCUACAACUUCAGUUUGUGUUUCUCAGAAUGAUGUUCAUUUGCAGCAGAAUAACAAUUCGUCUUCUUAUAAUCCACAUUCACUGUUGUUGAGGGACAUAAGUCAAGAUGGGGAACUCCAGGCAAAUCCCAGGAAUAAUGUUCCAUAUGGAGCUAACAUUGAUGGCCAACUGGGAGUUCUAAUGAAUUCUGACCAAGUGUUGACAAAAAGCAUCAUAGGUCUGGGGAAGGAUCUCCCAAAUAAUCUUUCUUCAGCGGGUAUGAUUUCUAACUGUGAAAAUUCAAAAGAUCCUCAACAUGAGCUUUCAUCUUCAAUGGUUUCCCGGUCAUUUGGAGUUCCAGAUAUGGCAUUCAAUUCAAUUGAUUCCACAAUCAAUGAUAGUAGCUUCUUGAACAGAGGUCCUUGGGCCCCUCCCCCACAAUUUCAGCGGAUGCGUACAUAUACAAAGGUGUACAAACGCGGAGCUGUGGGGAGGUCUAUUGAUAUAACCCGCUAUUCUGGUUAUGAUGAGCUUAAGCAAGAUCUGGCCCGGAGGUUUGGUAUAGAGGGACAGUUAGAAGACCGACACAGGAUAGGCUGGAAACUUGUUUAUGUGGAUCAUGAGAAUGAUGUUUUGUUAGUAGGGGAUGACCCAUGGGAAGAGUUUGUGAACUGUGUUCGCUGCAUUAAGAUCUUGUCCCCGCAAGAAGUACAGCAAAUGAGCUUGGAUGGAGAUUUUGGGAACUCUGUCCAUCCAAAUCAAGCAUGUAGCAGCUCUGAUAAUGGCAAUGCAUAAAGUAGUCGACCAAAAUGCUAACAAAUUCUUCCACGUUGGGAACCUUAUAUUAUUUGUGGAUUCUGUUCAUAGCUUUCUGUAUGUUGUUUAUUCUGCUUUAUCUGGGUUUUCAAGGUUUUCCUAGCUUGCAAAAGUGGCAGGCAAACCAAGAAUUUUCCAGCAACCUCGUAAAAAUUGAAGUUGUUCUAUGGCACUCAGAGCUCUAUUUCAAUUUGUUCCAGCUCUAAAUUGUAUAACACAGAUCAAAAGCAGAAAGAUCACCAAUCAAUGAUGCAUAACUGGUUCAAGGCUCUUUUAGAGUUUCCCUCGGGCUUGAUGAGGAAUCCAGCUUGGUUUGUGCCUUUAAACUAGUUAAGAUAUUUGAUGCUGUUGUGAUGUUUAUUAAUCAACUUCUUUCAUGUUUUUACUAGCUGAGAAAUCUCCUUUUGGAGGCAUUGUAGAAAGCAAAAACAAGAAAUUAUAUGGCCU
This 1925-nucleotide unclassified non-coding RNA is filed under the name Hevea brasiliensis (rubber tree). Lineage: Eukaryota; Viridiplantae; Streptophyta; Magnoliopsida; Malpighiales; Euphorbiaceae. The record is from RNAcentral.